Molecule: ribosomal RNA, 301 nt
Filed under: uncultured bacterium
Lineage: Bacteria
Description: partial 16S ribosomal RNA
Rfam family: Bacterial small subunit ribosomal RNA
Source: RNAcentral
CAGUCGCCGCGGGAAUACAGAGGGUGCGAGCGUUAAUCGGAUUUACUGGGCGUAAAGCGUGCGUAGGCGGCUUCUUAAGUCGGAUGUGAAAUCCCUGAGCUUAACUUAGGAAUUGCAUUCGAUACUGGGAAGCUAGAGUAUGGGAGAGGAUGGUAGAAUUCCAGGUGUAGCGGUGAAAUGCGUAGAGAUCUGGAGGAAUACCGAUGGCGAAGGCAGCCAUCUGGCCUAAUACUGACGCUGAGGUACGAAAGCAUGGGGAGCAAACUGGAUUAGAUACCCCCGUAGUCCCUGUCUCUUAUAC